UCAAGGGGAUAAAAAACCACGACCUACACUUGUAGGAUUUCAACUUCACUACUGGAGCAAUCUUUAGAUUACAACCUAUUGUAACCUAGGAAUUAAACUCUUAAUCCCUCACUAACUUGUAAUACACAUAUUGCAAGCCACUUUGCAAUAAACCUAUUACAAAGACUUCAAUUCAUGACUAACUUUAGUCACGACACAAACUCUAAGGGUUUAUGGUUUUUGGAGGUUCCUAGUUAAAGCUUCUAAAUAAGCAAAGUAGGAAUUACAAUGAAAAACUAAUACAAAGAUGCAACUCAACUAAGGACAUACAAAAGACUUGUUGUAAGAACUAGUAUGUAGUAGUGUUGUACUUUGUUCUUGAUGCACUUGUGACUUCAAUGCUUGAUUAUCAGAUCUUGAGUACUUGAAUUAUUUCACAAGUGUUCAAGUGAUGUUUUGUUGUAAUGCUUCUUGUUAAUAUCCUUUGAAUGACAUCACUUGGAUGAUGUAAACACUUGGUUGGUAAAAAGCCCUUCCCAAUGGGAAGUGACUGCUGCAUUGUUUGAAUGUACAGUACACUGCUGUCAGGGAAACUCAAAGGGAUCAGGUCCCUGAGUUGAUUCUUUUCUGUCUGAAGUCAUACAACACACAUUAGCUUGAGUCCGUUGAUAGAGAUAUAUACAAGUGUACAUCAGGUCCUUUAUCUGAUUCUUAACAAUAAGUUUGUUAGAUCAUCAAAACAUAAGUCUAAGAUACUUUAAACCUAUCAAUUUCCCCCUUUUUGAUGAUGACAAACUUAAAAAUUAAAAACUAUUUGUAGAACACAAUAAACCAGAUAAAGUACCAGGAAUUUCACAAGUUCCCCCUGACUCUAUGAUUCCCCUUUACUCAGAUGCCCAUGCUUCAAUUUAUCUUCCCCCUUUUGGAAUCAUUAAAAAUACACAAGCAAGUAAUCAGCAUAAGGAAGUCUAGCCGAGCUAACUCGUGCCAUAUGUGUACACACAACAUGAUAGAAAAGAGAAGCAGAAAAACACAAACAUUUAACAGCAAAAAGAGAGUCUUAAUUGAUUUAUAAGACAUAAGCCUCUGCCAAGAAAGCAAAGGCAAGUUUGGACUGUUGAAUGCGGGAGCAGUUCAGGUGAAAUCCAUCCACAUCACAAAAAAAAAACUACCACAAGUCAUCAAAAAAAAAGAGAAACUUGACACUAGUCAGUGGAAGAUAUUCCUAGGGAGCACUAGAGGAAGAAGGCUUGGAGGAGGCCACAAGAGUGUUGAGAACAAGGUCAAUUCGAGCAUUUGCAGACAUCUGCUCUGCGAGUAGUUUCUCUCAUAGGUUCUCAACCUGUUGCCUGAGCUCAGCAUUUUCUUUUGACAGACGAGCAACUUCUUCACUUGAUGAACUGGAAGGUCUUGUUGCCCUUAUAGCCUGACUUAGCUGAGUCUCGAGAAUGGCAUUCCUUGCCUUCAGCUUCCUGAUCUUCUCUAUAGCACUAUUCUGGGCAUUGAUCAGCUGGGAGAUCGUCGAAGUGCUGCCCAUUCCUCCAACCUUUUCAAUUUAUUCACAUUCCUCUAGUGUCAUGUUCGAGAAGGUCUCUUUCCUGGUUUCCAUCUUGGGCUGUCCUAAGGGCACAUUAAAGAACUUGAAGACACGUGUGAGAAGAAAGCCAUAAGGGAGUCCAUGGUUCCCAUCCUUGAAAGCUGCCACUUUCUGCAUAUGUUCAAUCAUAAUGGCAGGCAAAUUGAUAGAGCAAAACUCAUCCAAUGCUUCCAUUAAGUAUAGAUCAGACCGGGAUGUGAGGGGCAUUCUCUCAGCACAAGGGAGCAGAACCUUAUUAACCAACUCAAAUAACAGUUGGUACACAGGAAGCAGAGCCUUCUUGUGUAUUUGUUCCCCAUGUUGGACAACUUUCUCUUACACAAUGGCGCGCCUAAAAUUAGAGCCACAAACGCCUCUCACAGAUGACAACCCUUCAGAUAGAACUCUGAGAAUUUUUCCCAACACAGUAGCAUCUAUAACAAUAUCCACAUCACUCACUAGGACACAGAUGUGGUCAUCUUCAACAGUGAAGAGUUCAACAUAGAAACUUUGGACCUCAUCCUCAUACACCUUAGGCACAUCCUCUUUGAACAGAUGGCCCCACUGCUGAAAUUCCACCAUCUAAAGAAUUUGUCUCAUACCUGCCAUUUCAGAAAUCUCUGGGUCAAACGUGCAACCCCAUAGUACCUUCUGGUACCGCAUCCUUUCUUGCUCAAGCACACUUACACUUUUCACCCUUUUGACAGAACCGGGUGCCCCAACAGUUUCCAACUUCCUUUUAACAGAAUUCUCAAUGGACUUACCCUUGCUACUUGAUUUCACCAAAAUAUCAUCAUCAGACAUUAAUUGUUUCUCCACAACUUGCUUAGACUUGAUACUACCUUUCACAGACUUUUUACUUGAUGUUUCAACAGCUUCCAUUAAAGCUUUCUCAACAGAUUGUUUCUUUUUCUGAGAUCUCUUAACCAUGGAACUUGGUUCCUCUUGAGCAUCCUCAUCCACUUCCACUACAGGUAUACUUUUGUCAUACACAAUUUCCUCAUCCUUCACCAGCCUCUUCUUCUUUUUUUUGCUAUUCCUUUUGCUUUUCUUCAAGGCAGACUCAAAAGCCUCCUUCUGUUGUAACCUUGUGGUAGGUCGCUUAGGAAGGGGCUCAGGAGUGACCACGGGAUUUCUAAUCUUAAAGCGUGCAUUGAGAACCACAUCAUCCUGUUCAUCCUCAUCACUAGAUCUCACAACGAGAGGGAUGGACUCCAACGGUUCAGCAUCAAAGUGAGGAGAUGGAGAAGGAUUGAAGCUGACCUAGGAAGAUGAUUCAUGACCUGUUUCCUCAGAGAGGGAAUCAGGUUCAUCAGCAAGGUACCCAGUAGCUUCUUCAGGUGCAGAAGAUCCAAAGAGCACCAUUGUUCCUUCUUCUCCGAAGAGCGGAGUCCCUUCCCCUUGAGACUCAAGCAUGGACGAAGUUACCUUAUUCACCAGUCUCUCGGCAGCAAUGGACAACAUAUUUUCGAUGGCCUCAUUUUCCUGAGGUUCCAUAGCAGCAGCAGUAACCAGAGGACUAGCACACUGAUUAGUAUCUUCCUCGGACACCCAUUUUCCUUGUUGCGUUUCACCCUUUUCUUCAUUCUUGUUCUGUUCUUUGAGAGUAUCUGGCAACAGAGAAGAAAUACUAUCUAUUUUUGGUGCUUCUGAGUCCUCAACACUUAAGGAAGGAGUAUCGACAGAGGGCGUGAUGAGAGAGAUAGGGGUGAAAAGGAAUCAGGUUUGGGUGUUUUGGGUCAGCAAUGGUAGAAGAGGGGACGUUUGGUGGUGUUUCUAACAUGGCGAAUAAGUCAAGGGUUUUCUCUUCAGAGCUGGGUAGGUUUUCUUGCUCUUCAGCCAUGGUAGAUAGUUGGGUAGAAGGUUUUGGAAGAGUGAAAAGAGAGAAGGAUGAUCGCUUAAGGUUAGGAGGAGUAGGGGUUUUAAAGAGGGAAAGGAUAAUUAUGAGGGAAGAGAAACAGGUUCUGAAAUGGCUGUAGGUUUGUGGGAAGAUGCAACGUUGCAGAGGGAAGUGAAAAUAUUUGAAAGAAAAGAUGUGAUAUACAGGGUCUGAAAAGGUGGAUGACGUGGCAGUUAAUUUUGUUUCUUUUGAGAUAUGCAUGAGAAAAACACAAGACCAUUAACCUGUGGUACAAGAACCAGGUUCUUGAUCGGUCUUUCGGAAAAGAUUUUUCAACUCUCUUUUACCGCUCAUGCAUUGUUUCUUCAGCUUCUAUAAUCAUCAUGCGUGUCUACCUGUAACGAUAUAGAGGUGAGUUAGGCUUGGCCAGAAAACACUUUAGCUAGAUUUACCUGAAUGUAACUUUCAUAGCCAUAUGGAAGGGAAUCAGAUUCUCAAUUAGUCUUGAUUAACCCCAGUGCCAUCCUGUUUUUCUCAAAAUGUUCCCUGCUUAAAGCUUUGGUGAAGAUGUCUGCAAUUUGGUCUUCUAUACUAUAGAACUUUAUGCAAAUAAGCCCAUUCUCCACAUUGUCUCUGAGAAAAUGAUAUCUUACAUCAAUGUGCUUGGUUCUCUAGUGCUGGACCGGGUUAUUUGCCAUGUUGAGUGCACUGGUGUUAUCACAUAGAAGAGGUACACAGUCAGUGUAUACUCCAAAAUCCUCUAAUUGUUGUUUGAUCCACAAGAGCUGGGCACAACAAGAAGCUACAACAACAUAUUCUGUUUCAGCUGUUGAGAGAGCUACAGAGUUUUGAUUCUUUGUGCCCAAUGAAAUCAGACAGGAUCCUAGGAAGUGAUCUAUUCCGGAUUGUCACACCUCCUUUUUCCCGCAGGGGAUAGGGGAAUAAGGGAGUUUUUCCAAUUAAAGUGACAUUAAUCGAAAUGAAAUUAUUUAUUUAUUUCAGAGUCGCCACUUGAAAUAAUUUAUGGUGUCCCAAGUCACCGGUUUAUUUUAAAUCUCAAAUCGAGGAAAUUGACUCUUAUUUAUAGUCUGCGAACACAGAAGAUCGGGUAAGGAAUUCUGUUAACCCGGGAGAAGGUGUGAGGCACUCCCGAGUUCCGUGGUUUUAGCACGGUUGCUUAACUAUUAAUACUUGGCUUAAUUAUCUGAUUUAUUACCUGUUUUAAACCUAUUGUGCAUUGUACACAUUGCAAACCGCCCCACAUGAAAUGCACCCGCGAUUUACGACAUGUUUAUUUUUAUUAUUAUUCGAAGUUAUAGUCGGGUCAGAUGAAAUGCACACCCAAAUUGAGAAUUAUGUAUCGUGACCAUGCCACGGAAACCGUACCCAUAAUCACGAAGAUUGAUUAUUGCGCCUAAAGCAAGCUACGAAUUAAGGAUUAUUUUUGUUCGACCAAAGUCGCGCAAAAGCGUACUUCGAUUUAUUUUUGGAAUCAUAAUUAUUACUUUUAUUAUUCCAUGGAUUUCACGAAGAGGAUAUUGAAGAAUUAGAAACAGUGACGAUUACUAAUCAUUCUCACGCUUUGCAUAUCAAAGGCCAAGGAAAAUAAAUGAGCAAUCCUACUGCUAUAUCAUAAAUCACGGUUUCCUCCAGUAAAUACCUCAGAGAACGUUUGCAAACGAUGAUUGCUAAUGCAUGAAGCUUAUUGAAUUUUCAGCAAUUGAAAUACAAUUAAAACUCAACUUUCAAGUUAGUGCUUAUAUACCCAAAUUCCCAUACUAACACAGAUUUGAAGUAAUAUACACAAAGGCUCAAACUCAUAAAACCAAGUACAACUAAUAAUAUUUAAAAAAAAAACUCAAAGCAGACACAUAUGAAAAGUAAAACAUUAAAGCAAUAGUGACAUGGAUCUGAAAUACUCGAAUCAUAGAGAAAUGAAUUGGAGUAGUGAAAGAAAGAAAGAGCCAGACCUUAAUUGCCUAAAAUCUUCAAAACAUGUACAGCGCAAAAGAGUAUCCAAAAAUAGAAGUCCUCGAGCGAGCUACGGACCAUAAACUCGAAUCGGAAUCGCAAUGCUGAACGACUCAACUCGACCAGAUUUGGAUGGUGAUUUCAGGCUGGUUUAUGCAUUGAUUUGAGGUGAUCUUUUCGGUGAAAUUUGCAGCGCCUUUCAGUUGUUGUUUUGGCUCUUUUCGGGGCUGAUUCGGCAGCUGAUUGCAACAGAUUUCAACUGCGUAUUAGGGUUGCUCUGGCCAGCGUUUUCGGGCUGUUUUUNN
RNAcentral lists this long non-coding RNA (5671 nucleotides) under Nicotiana tabacum (common tobacco). Its description in RNAcentral is "long non-coding RNA (NTAB_LNC017049)". The record is from RNAcentral. Lineage: Eukaryota; Viridiplantae; Streptophyta; Magnoliopsida; Solanales; Solanaceae.